CAUGCAAGUCGAACGAGAAAGUCACUUCGGUGGCGAGUAGAGUGGCGCACGGGUGAGUAACGCGUAGAUGAUCUACCCUUCAGUCUGGGACAACUCUUGGAAACGGGAGCUAAUACCGGAUAAAACCUUCGGGUUGAAAGCUUUAGUGCUGGAGGACGAGUCUGCGUACCAUUAGCUUGUUGGUGGGGUAAGAGCCUACCAAGGCGACGAUGGUUAGCGGGUCUGAGAGGACGAUCCGCCACACUGGAACUGAGACACGGUCCAGACUCCUACGGGAGGCAGCAGUAGGGAAUAUUGCGCAAUGGGGGAAACCCUGACGCAGCAAUGCCGCGUGAGUGAAGAAGGCCCUCGGGUCGUAAAGCUCUUUUAUGGGGGAAGAUGAUGACGGUACCCCAUGAAUAAGCACCGGCUAACUACGUGCCAGCAGCCGCGGUAAUACGUAGGGUGCGAGCGUUGUUCGGAAUUACUGGGCGUAAAGGGCGUGCAGGCGGAUUGGUAAGCCGGAGGUGAAAGCCCGGGGCUCAACCCCGGAGGGUCUUUCGGAACUGCCAGUCUUGAGAGGGUCAGGGGCCAGCGGAAUUCCUGGUGUAGAGGUGAAAUUCGUAGAGAUCAGGAGGAACACCGGCGGCGAAAGCGGCUGGCUGGGGCCACUCUGACGCUGAGGCGCGAAAGCGUGGGGAGCAAACAGGAUUAGAUACCCUGGUAGUCCACGCCGUAAACGAUGGGCACUAAGCGUCCGACGGGUUCGACCCUGUUGGGUGCUGCAGUUAACGCGUUAAGUGCCCCGCCUGGGGAGUACGGUCGCAAGACUAAAACUCAAAGGAAUUGACGGGGGCCCGCACAAGCGGUGGAACAUGUGUUUAAUUCGACGCAACGCGAAGAACCUUACCUGGUUUGACAUCCUCGGACGACACCAGAGAUGUGUUUCUCUCGGAGACCGGGUGACAGUGCUGCAUGAUCGUCGUCAGCUCGUGUCGUGAGAUGUGGGUAGUCCGUACGAGCGCACCCUGUCCUAGUGCCAGCACGUCAUGGUGACUCUAGGGAGACUGCCGGUGACACCGGAGAGGUGGGGACACGUCAGUCAUCAUGGCCCUACAGCACUGGCUUACACACUGGCUAUCAAUGGGUGUGUACAAGGGGUGGCGGCAU
Molecule: ribosomal RNA, 1149 nt
Filed under: uncultured bacterium
Lineage: Bacteria
Description: bacterial SSU rRNA
Rfam family: Bacterial small subunit ribosomal RNA
Source: RNAcentral